AUGGCCCAUAAGCGCAAAAGCAUCAGCUUCAUCCCACCAGAUGGAGAAUUUGAACUCAUGAGGUAUCACACCACCAAGGACAUCAUCCUUCCUUUCCGGGUAAUCCACUAGUGCGGGAAGUGGGAUGCACCAAACUAGAGGUCAAAGUGGUCAUCAAGUCCAACUUCAAGCCCUCCCUGCUGGCUCAGAAGAUUGAGGUGAGAAUCCCAACCCCACUGAACACAAGUGGGGUACAGGUGAUCUGCAUGAAGGGGAAGGCCAAGUACAAGGCCAGCGAGAAAGCCAUCGUGUGGAAGAUCAAGCACAUGGCGGGCAUAAAGGAAUCGCAGAUCAGUGCAGAGAUUGAGCUUCUUCCCACCAAUGACAAGAAGAAAUGGGCUCGGCCCCCAUUUCCAUGAACUUUGAAGUGCCAUUCGCACCCUCUGGCCUCAAGGUGCGCUACUUGAAGGUGUUUGAACCGAAGCUGAACUACAGCAACCAUGAUGUCAUCACAUGGGUACACUACAUUGGUCGCAGUGGCAUUUAUGAAACUCACUGCUAGCUGCCAAGUGGUAGCUAGCCCACCUCCCCACACCUUCUACAGGUCCGGGUACCACCCCUUUCCCUGUCCCCCACUACAGCAGUGUCUCCUACUCCCUCUUGCUGCCUUCCCUCUGCAUCAGCCCCUGAGUCUAGGUCUGGACCAACUACUGCACAAGCAGGAGUGGUGGAGCAAUCCCUGGGCUCCCUGGACUCCCUGGGCAGGGGAGUUCUGGGGCUUCUGCUCUUCCAGCCAUCUGUCUGUCCUGGCCUACUGCCAGGAGUUCUGAGUUCUGUGACCAAAGGCAGGUGGGCCCCUUUUCCUUCUAACCCCUGUGGCCACAUCUCUAGAGUGUGAGGGUUGGCUGCCCCUCACCUUCGAGCUCCCCCAAAGGCCAGUAACAGAUCCCCAGCCCUCAAUCUCUGCUUUGGGAUAGUGUCAGCUUCAUUUUGUACACAUGUGACUUUGUCCAGUUACAAAUCCAAUAAACUGUAGAGUGG
RNA transcript from Nycticebus coucang (slow loris), 1020 nucleotides. It is a transcript of the gene named AP-2 complex subunit mu-like, with no coding region annotated. The transcript has 2 exons. NCBI's taxonomy places the organism in Eukaryota, Metazoa, Chordata, Mammalia, Primates, Lorisidae. The record is from RefSeq and is a predicted model, not a curated record.